This 516-nucleotide ribosomal RNA is filed under the name uncultured bacterium. RNAcentral's name for it is "partial 16S ribosomal RNA". It matches the Rfam family "Bacterial small subunit ribosomal RNA", at positions 28 to 523 of the family's 1533-position model. The record is from RNAcentral.
GAUGAACGCUGGCGGCGUGCCUAAUACAUGCAAGUCGAGCGAAUGGAUUAAGAGCUUGCUCUUAUGAAGCUAGCGGCGGACGGGUGAGUAACACGUGGGUAACCUGCCCAUAAGACUGGGAUAACUCCGGGAAACCGGGGCUAAUACCGGAUAACAUUUUGAACCGCAUGGUUCGAAAUUGAAAGGCGGCUUCGGCUGUCACUUAUGGAUGGACCCGCGUCGCAAUUAGCUAGUUGGUGAGGUAACGGCUCACCAAGGCAACGAUGCGUGGCCGACCUGAGAAGGUGAUCGGCCACACUGGGACUGAGACACGGCCGAGACUCCUACGGGAGGCAGCAGUAGGGAAUCUUCCGCAAUGGACGAAAGUCUGACGGAGCAACGCCGCGUGAGUGAUGAAGGCUUUCGGGUCGUAAAACUCUGUUGUUAGGGAAGAACAAGUGCUAGUUGAAUAAGCUGGCACCUUGACGGUACCUAACCAGAAAGCCACGGCUAACUACGUGCCAGCCGCCGCAGUAA